This 328-nucleotide ribosomal RNA is filed under the name uncultured eukaryote. RNAcentral describes it as "partial 18S ribosomal RNA". It matches the Rfam family "Eukaryotic small subunit ribosomal RNA", at positions 1470 to 1796 of the family's 1831-position model. The record is from RNAcentral.
CCCUUAGACGUCCUGGGCCGCACGCGCGUUACACUGAUGCAUUCAACGAGCUUGUAACCUUGGCCGAGAGGCCUGGGCAAUCUUGUUAACGUGCAUCGUGGUAGGGAUAGAUUAUUGAAAUUAUUAAUCUUGAACGAGGAAUUCCUAGUAAACGCAGAUCAUCAAUCUGCAUUGACUACGUCCCUGCCCUUUGUACACACCGCCCGUCGCUCCUACCGAUUGAGUGGUCCGGUGAGGCUUUGGGAUCUGAGCGGAAAGAGCGUUUCGCUGUUUCUGCUCGGAAAACUCAGUCGAACCUUAUCAUUUAGAGGAAGGAGAAGUCGUAACA